GCCCCGUUACUUGACCGUGGGCUACACACGUGCUACAAUGGGCGGUACAAAGGGCUGCGAACCCGCGAGGGGGAGCGAAUCCCAAAAAGCCGCUCUCAGUUCGGAUUGCAGGCUGCAACUCGCCUGCAUGAAGCCGGAAUCGCUAGUAAUCGCGGAUCAGCAUGCCGCGGUGAAUACGUUCCCGGGCCUU
This 190-nucleotide ribosomal RNA is filed under the name uncultured Geobacillus sp. Its description in RNAcentral is "partial 16S ribosomal RNA". It matches the Rfam family "Bacterial small subunit ribosomal RNA", at positions 1193 to 1382 of the family's 1533-position model. Lineage: Bacteria; Bacillati; Bacillota; Bacilli; Caryophanales; Anoxybacillaceae. The record is from RNAcentral.